Molecule: small RNA, 76 nt
Filed under: Tenacibaculum todarodis
Lineage: Bacteria; Pseudomonadati; Bacteroidota; Flavobacteriia; Flavobacteriales; Flavobacteriaceae
Description: Tenacibaculum sp. LPB0136 Flavo-1 RNA
Rfam family: Flavo-1 RNA
Source: Rfam by way of RNAcentral
GUAUGCCCGCGUUAAGGAUUGAAACGGCAUCCUUUUUUUGUUUUAAAAAAAGAUAUAGUGUAAAGCCUGACCCAAU